This 681-nucleotide ribosomal RNA is filed under the name uncultured bacterium. RNAcentral's name for it is "bacterial SSU rRNA". It matches the Rfam family "Bacterial small subunit ribosomal RNA", at positions 9 to 687 of the family's 1533-position model. The record is from RNAcentral.
GAGUUUGAUCCUGGCUCAGAAUGAACGUUGGCGGCAUGGAUUAGGCAUGCAAGUCGAGCGAGAAAUUUUAGUUUGAAGCUUCGGUUGAUUUCUAAGAUGGACAGCGGCGCAUGGGAGAGUAACGAGUAGUUAUCUACCCCCAAGUUCGGGAUAGCCUCGGGAAACUGAGUGUAAUACCGAAUAAUAUCUCCGGAUCAAAGAUGUGAUUCCGCUUGGGGAGGAGACUGCUUACUACUAGCUUGUUGGUGGGGUAAUGGCCUACCAAGGCUUUGAUGGUUAGCGGGCGUGAGAGCGUGGCCCGUCUCACUGGGACUGAAACACUGCCCAGACACCUACGGGUGGCUGCAGUCGAGAAUCUUCGGCAAUGAGCGAAAGCUUGACCGAGCGAUGCCGCGUGCGGGAUGAAGGCCUUCGGGUUGUAAACCGCCGUCAGUAGGGAGGAAGGAUUCGUGAAGAGCGAAUCUUGACCUAUCUUCAGAGGAAGUCCGGGCUAAGUUCGUGCCAGCAGCCGCGGUAACACGAACCGGACAAACGUUAUUCGGAAUUAUUGGGCUUAAAGGGUGUGUAGGCGGCAAUGUAGGUGGGGUGUGAAAUCCCUCGGCUCAACCCGAGGAACUGCGCUCCAACCACAUCGCUAGAGGGAGACAGAGGUAAGCGGAACUGAUGGUGGAGCGGUGAAAU